CUCUCUCUGUCUCUCAAUCAUCUCUUUUCCUGACACACUCAUUACUUUUGCUUGCUUUUAUCAGUCUAGGUCAACAAAGGCGUUAAAACGCAGAAAAGUGCACGAUGAAAAGUAGAAUAUAAUCAGAGACAUUUUCAGACCAAUCUAGUUCUGUUUAGCUUUAGAAGAAUUUACCUAGUUAAGUGCUCAAGCUGUAUACACCAUGGUCACAGAAACAUCUUUUCCUAGGUGUGAACACAACCCUAAUUGAAGCCAGAGAAAGAUACCAUUCACAUACCUUUUUGUUUAGCUUUUGGACAUCAUGUGCAACACACUUUUAGAGUAGACGAUAAACACUGACCUUGCUCAUCACUUUCUUCACAAUCAUACUUAUGCUAUCAAUUAAUUUCACAUUCAUUUCUAUCAAAAGAUAAUUACACAAAUGAUCCAUAAAUUUUGACCUAAUAUGUAUUGUCAUC
RNAcentral lists this long non-coding RNA (458 nucleotides) under Eucalyptus grandis. Its description in RNAcentral is "long non-coding RNA (EGRA_LNC006912)". Lineage: Eukaryota; Viridiplantae; Streptophyta; Magnoliopsida; Myrtales; Myrtaceae. The record is from RNAcentral.